GAUGAACGCUAGCGGCAGGCUUAACACAUGCAAGUCGAGGGGUAUUGGUUUUCGGACCAAGAGACCGGCGCACGGGUGCGUAACGCGUAUGCAAUCUACCUUUUGCAGAGGGAUAGCCCCAGAGAAAUUUGGAUUAAUACCUCAUAGUAUAGUACUUUGGCAUCAAGGAACUAUUAAAGUCACAACGGCAAAAGAUGAGCAUGCGUCCCAUUAGCUAGUUGGUAAGGUAACGGCUUACCAAGGCUACGAUGGGUAGGGGUCCUGAGAGGGAGAUCCCCCACACUGGUACUGAGACACGGACCAGACUCCUACGGGAGGCAGUAGUGAGGAAUAUUGGACAAUGGGCGCAAGCCUGAUCCAGCCAAUGCCGGCCGUUGCAGGAUGACGGUCCUAGUGGAUUAUAAACUGC
This 409-nucleotide ribosomal RNA is filed under the name uncultured bacterium. RNAcentral's name for it is "bacterial SSU rRNA". It matches the Rfam family "Bacterial small subunit ribosomal RNA", at positions 28 to 433 of the family's 1533-position model. The record is from RNAcentral.